ACCCAAUAGAUACCCAGGUAGUCCACGCCCUAAACGAUGAUUACUCGACAUACGCGAUAUACAGUGUGUGUCUGAGCGAAAGCAUUAAGUAAUCCACCUGGGAAGUACGUCCGCAAGGAUGAAACUCAAAGGAAUUGACGGGGGUCCGCACAAGCGGUGGAGUAUGUGGUUUAAUUCGAUGAUACGCGAGGAACCUUACCUGGGCUAGAAUGCUAUCUGCCCGUACCUGAAAGGGUAUUUGUAGCAAUACACAGAUAGUAAGGUGCUGCAUGGCUGUCGUCAGCUCGUGCCGUGAGGUGUUGGGUUAAGUCCCGCAACGAGCGCAACCCCCAUCUUCAGUUGUCCAGCACGUAAUGGUGGGAACGUCUGAAGAAACUAGCCGUCGUAAGACGCGAGGAAGGAGGGGAGUGAUGUCAAGUCAUCAUGGCCUUUAUGCCCACGGGCGUACACACGUACUACAAUGGGGAGGGACAAAGGGCGAGCGACCUGGUAACGAGGAAGCGAAUCUCAAAAACCUACUUCUCAGUUCAG
This 531-nucleotide ribosomal RNA is filed under the name uncultured bacterium. Its description in RNAcentral is "bacterial SSU rRNA". It matches the Rfam family "Bacterial small subunit ribosomal RNA", at positions 771 to 1296 of the family's 1533-position model. The record is from RNAcentral.